CUACCACAUGUUGCUCUGUUGGGUCUGGUCGGCCACCAGCAGGUUUCCAUGGACCUCGUCCACCAGCUCUGGAGCGAUCCAACGCAGCGGAACAUACAUCUGAUCUGAUGUGACCAAGCCGUAAUCUCCAACCUUCACGGAGACAUCAGCCGUCAACAAGCAGUUCCUCAAAGCCAGGUCACUAGAUACAAAGGGGGAAGAGGUUAUGCAGCUGUUAUAGCUCAUUUUAAUUAAUUCAUAUACAAAUUAAGAGCAGACAAUUUGAAAAAGGUAAUAUUUGAGAAACCGUGCAUGCAACACUCUGACUUAUUGCAAGAUGACAUCAUUCUUUUUGGAGUUGUUCUAUAGUUCAACACUGCUAUCUGUACAAAAAGCUGCAGACUGAGAGGAAGCUUGACUUGUGGAGAUGAGGUCCACCACCUGCAACAAAAUCACUGAUGCUGGAGUCUGUGAGGAUCACUCAGGCAGCACCAGGAUAUUGUUCCAGGAAGCAACCAAGGAGCAAAUGGCAUAUUUCCAGAAUAUCAAAACAGACCCGGGCCUGGGGAUGUAAUUUUGACGUGUUUUGAUAUUUAAUAUGCUCACUACCUGUGCGCGAAGUUGUGUUUGUGCAUGUGUAAGAGUGCUGAGGCGAUGUCACAGGCCAUCCGCUGGAGAAGCAGGGGCUCCGGGGUCAUGGCUUCUGCGGUCCUGCAGCUUCGGAGGUAACCCUUCACAUCUCCCUGCACACAAAGUAAAACAUCUGUAUGUUACAAGCUCCCACCACUGGAGGGCAGUGUUGUAUUGUACUGUGCUUAAUGGGGCCGAGAGUCAACCAUCUUUUGUGCAAGAAGGCACAUCUGGCUUGGUAUUACUAUGUGGAAUAAUGAAUAGACAUGCACCAACAUUGUGUCCUCUGUUGCAUGUGUACAUUUAAAAUGUUUUAACAGACCAUUUCAGAUUAUGGCUGUGCUGAAUUAAAUGUUUUUUCUUGUUGUUUUUUUACAUGAUGAUGGAUUUUUAAGCUGCAUUUCAAGUGGUACAAGCAAAGCAGGACAUAUAAACCUGGGUUGAACUGUCAAAUAUUUAUAGCAACUGUCAAGAAUGUUUUUAUUGCCUUUUUCGAUCCAUUUAGGGUGCUGAUGAGUUACAAGAUCUAAUGCAGACUUUAAGAUGAAUUGGGCUUCAUUACAAAUAUUAUAGCUCAUAUCUUACAUUGUACUCUAUGUUAUUUCAAUAUGUUAUAGCUUCAUUUAAUAACACUUAGCAGUAAAAGGAACAUUCUAGCACUCCUCUCAGAUUCAGACCCUGUGACAUGUCUUCAGAUGUCAUCUUAAUCAACGCUUAACAUGUGUAAGGCCUUGGGAUACUCACCAGAGGACAGAACUCCAUCACCAGUAGGUAGGGAGUGAUCUCUGUGCAUUGGGAAAUACAUGCCAGCAGAGCAGGGUGCUGGAGGGAGCUGAGAGGAGGAGAGAAGGGGAGAGAGGAGGAGAGGAGGAGGAGAGGAAGAGAGGGGGAGAGGAAGAGAGGGCGAGAGGAGGAGGAGAGGGGUAGAGGAAGAGCGUGUGGUCACAGGACACAAUGAGGCAGGCAGUGAAUUGUUAUGUGUGUAGGUUGACUUUGAUAUUUUUUUUCAGGAUGAUUUUUUUUUUUUCAUUACCAUUGUUAAUGUUGUUCUUAGGGUGUUAGUGGUUUUUGGAUUUGUAUUUUAUUCUAAAUAAAGGUGUCUUGUUAGCAU
Long non-coding RNA from Gymnodraco acuticeps, 1720 nucleotides. RefSeq lists it as uncharacterized. The transcript has 2 exons. The record is from RefSeq and is a predicted model, not a curated record. Lineage: Eukaryota; Metazoa; Chordata; Actinopteri; Perciformes; Bathydraconidae.